RNAcentral lists this long non-coding RNA (1018 nucleotides) under Aquilegia coerulea. RNAcentral's name for it is "long non-coding RNA (ACOE_LNC001048)". The record is from RNAcentral. Lineage: Eukaryota; Viridiplantae; Streptophyta; Magnoliopsida; Ranunculales; Ranunculaceae.
AAAGAUUUAUUUGUAUUGUAGGAUGGAAGCUAGCUUUCAAGUUCUUCGUAAUGUUUUUAAAACUUUUAGGUGAUUUUGUUGGAGGGAUAUUUUAUGUAGGAAUAGGUGGUAUCGGAAUAGGUGAUAAAUCUAAGACAUUCAUUAUAGGAUGGAGAUUGGAAGAUUGUUGAUAGAAAUGAGUUAAAGAAGAACACCGACUGGCUUCCCCCAGGAUGGAUAAUAAAAAGCAAAGAAAGAACUAAUGGAAACUCGUCGGGGAGAGUAGAUUAUGUAAGCCUAAUACUUAACCCUACUUUAAUUUUAUUUUAGAUCUAUUCUAAUUUUGUGUUUGAAUUAAAAAUUCAAGUGUUUUUUCUUAGAAAAGUUUUGGAUCAGAGUUAGUUAAACAUGUUUUUUUAUGGUGUACAAUGCUUGAGGCCUAGGAAGAAAUUGAAUAUUUUCCAGAUAUCAUUAUAGGAUGAGAACAUAAAUCGGCUCAAGUGAAUAAUGGAUAAUCUUACACCUUGGGUCAUGGCAGAUAAUCCUACAACCAGGUCAUGGCAUGUUCAGUUCAUCUUCUAAUUAUUGCCAUUUGCAUAAUUAAUUAAGUAGCUCGCUACAAUGAUAUUCUGAAUUCUCAUUUUCAUUUUUUUUCAGGACAGGUUGAGCGUAGCUACUUUGGAAAUGGAUCAACAGAUCCAGAUUAUAUGGAUGAUGCCAAACCCUCUUUUGCACCUGAGUUUCAAUCACUUUCGAAGAACAAGAUCCGCAUUGCUUGGAUGCAUAAUCUAGCUUUCUUUUUUUUAUCUUUAACUUUGUUAGAUUUAUUCAAAAACUGAUUUAUAUUGGCAAAUGUAUUUGUAAUUGAAAAUAUCAUAUUUGGUAAAAAUUUUUUUUUUUUUUUUUAGAAUUUUAAUAUCAUUUUAUUGAUACUCAGGAAAUUACACAAAACUAGAGUACAAGCACGCUACAAACUGUGCUACAAGUCUUUUCUGAAUAGGAAACCCGAUUCUUCUAAAUACAUAUUCGUGCGAACCAG